GCCCUGGUACCCCUCUAUUGGAAGCAUGAGUGGGGAAAUUAACUCAAAUAUUGCCGCAGUGAUCUUCUAAUUUAUGAUGUAAAUGAACAUAUUUGUUACUUUGAUAUUGCUGUUCAAAUAUACAUGUCAGGUUUAGAUAUUAAUUUCAUGAUUCUGGUUGAUAAUUUGGGUUCCAUCCUCCUGGUUGUAUGAUGUCUUACAUU
Molecule: long non-coding RNA, 203 nt
Filed under: Elaeis guineensis (African oil palm)
Lineage: Eukaryota; Viridiplantae; Streptophyta; Magnoliopsida; Arecales; Arecaceae
Description: long non-coding RNA (EGUI_LNC056029)
Source: RNAcentral